CUACAAGCUCUACUUGGAGCUACAUCAUAUAUAUAUAUAUAUAUAU
This is a non-coding RNA of Glycine max (soybean), 46 nucleotides long. NCBI's taxonomy places the organism in Eukaryota, Viridiplantae, Streptophyta, Magnoliopsida, Fabales, Fabaceae. The record is from Rfam.